CGCCCGUCUGCUCUGGCCGGGCCGGCGACUCCCGCCCGGGCCUGUGCGGGAGCGAGCCCGCGCCCGGCUGUGCCACGCAGCUGGCCCGAGCCGCCUGGUGACUGCCCAAAGCGCGAAUCCGGGAGCCUGGCCCCGUCGGCUCCGCUAGCGGCCGGCGUUGGGGGCUCCGGGCUCUGCACAGCGUGUCUCCGCAAAAGGGGCUGUCUGUGCUUCAGGGACGUGAGUUGGGGGGUUGCCCACCCCCCGUUCAGUUGUGCACACGCCAGCCUGGCGAUCCGCCCUGCUUGCCGGGCGCCAAACACCCAGGUGGUGAUGGUCAGAGUCCCAAGUGCCAUAGAGGUUGGGGCCUGCCCAGCUGAACGGAAGACGGUGGCCGCUGACUGGCUGGUAUGGCUUUCUGGCUAAGGUGCUGGAUCAGGCCUCAGGCGAUCUGAGGUCAGGUGUUGGCUGUGUUUCCAAACUUCCUGUUUGACAAGUCCUUUCUUUCACUCUUGGGAGCUGCGUUGAUUCCCCUCCUGGAAAAUUGGAGUAUUAAUGCUUUCUGCUCUACAGAAAUGUUAGGAGAUACUUUAUGUCCUACGGUGAGUAGGGUAUUUAAGUAUCUGGACUGAGAGAUGAGAAUAAUUAGCUUAGCUCAUGUUGAUUUUAAAACUGCCCUCUGUUACUAGGACCUGUCAGACAAUGUAAGUACCACACUUUUUGUUGUUUUUGUUAAAAGAAAAGGAGUACUUGUGGCACCUUAGAGACUAACAAAUUUAUUUGAGCAUAAGCUUUUGUGAGCUACAGCUCACUUCAUCAGAUGUUGUUGUUGUCACUUGUAAAUGAGCAUUGCUUGGAUUCAAUGCUUUUGGAUGCCUAAAUAACCAUGACAUCACAAAGUAGUCAUUGCAGCUGGCCAGGAGAUUGUGCCCUAUCGCUUCAGGCACAGACCUAAUUGUAGCUGUCUAAACACUUUAAGCUUGUAUAUUGCAACUCAUUUCUAGGGAUAAAUACUCAGGAUGGAAAUAGUACAAAAUCAGCAGCCCAUUGUUUGCCAAACAUAGGUCAUUAUGAACAUGUAGCCUUGCUGCUCCGCUCUGCUCGGAUUCCCCAUUGAAGAGAGUCCUGCUGAAGGUGUGACUUCUCAUAUUCAAAGGCCUUCGUUGGGUUGGCCCUAAUUACCUAAAAGCCUCUUGCAAGAUAGCUGUGUUCCACUGAAACUGUGAAAUAGUUUACUAUUUAAGGGAAGCUUAUGAACACAUAAGACAACUCUAUUAAACUAUGGAACUCCUCAUGCUUUCAAAA
Molecule: long non-coding RNA, 1284 nt
Organism: Dermochelys coriacea (leatherback sea turtle)
Lineage: Eukaryota; Metazoa; Chordata; Testudines; Dermochelyidae
Exons: 2
Source: RefSeq, a predicted model, not a curated record